GAUGAACGCUGGCGGCGUGCCUAAUACAUGCAAGUCGAGCGAACGGACGAGAAGCUUGCUUCUCUGAUGUUAGCGGCGGACGGGCGAGUAACACGUGGAUAACCUACCUAUAAGACUGGGAUAACUUCGGGAAACCGGAGCUAAUACCGGAUAAUAUUUUGAACCGCAUGGUUCAAAAGUGAAAGACGGUCUUGCUGUCACUUAUAGAUGGAUCCGCGCUGCACUAGCUAGUUGGUAAGGUAACGGCUUACCAAGGCAACGAUGCAUAGCCGACCUGAGAGGGUGAUCGGGCACACUGGAACUGAGACACGGUCCAGACUCCUACGGGAGGCAGCAGUAGGGAAUCUUCCGCAAUGGGCGAAAGCCUGACGGAGCAACGCCGGGUGAGUGAUGAAGGUCUUCGGAUCGUAAAACUCUGUUAUUAGGGAAGAACAUAUGUGUAAGUAACUGUGCACAUCUUGACGGUACCUAAUCAGAAAGCCACGGCUAACUACGUG
This 497-nucleotide ribosomal RNA is filed under the name uncultured bacterium. RNAcentral describes it as "partial 16S ribosomal RNA". It matches the Rfam family "Bacterial small subunit ribosomal RNA", at positions 28 to 507 of the family's 1533-position model. The record is from RNAcentral.